Unclassified non-coding RNA from Callithrix jacchus (white-tufted-ear marmoset), 148 nucleotides. It matches the Rfam family "Metazoan signal recognition particle RNA". Rfam says of the family: The signal recognition particle (SRP) is a universally conserved ribonucleoprotein. It is involved in the co-translational targeting of proteins to membranes. Lineage: Eukaryota; Metazoa; Chordata; Mammalia; Primates; Cebidae. The record is from Ensembl.
GCCGGGCACAGUGGCUCAUGCCUGUAAUCCCAGCAAUUUGGGAGGCUGAGGUGGGAGGAUCACUUGAGCCCAGGAGAUCAAGGCUGCAGUGAGCCAUGAUUGCACCACUGCACUCUAGCCUGGGCUACAGAGUGAGACUCUGUUUCAA